Molecule: long non-coding RNA, 1035 nt
Filed under: Canis lupus familiaris (dog)
Lineage: Eukaryota; Metazoa; Chordata; Mammalia; Carnivora; Canidae
Description: lncRNA (ENSCAFG00845024393.1)
Source: RNAcentral
AUGCUGGCGACGUCCUGUCACUUUCACACGGGGAACCAGACACAGCGACGCAGCCAAGUCCCUGUGAAGGGUCCCAACAGCGUGGCCCUGCCCUUGCUGGGAAGCCACCGGGACCCAUCCCCGAGCAGUAUGUGGCGGGGCUACUUGGUGAAUACUGGCAAAAAGGACUCCGGUCAAAUACGGUCACGACAGCGUCGACACCCGGGGCCCGUUGUCUCACGCAGCAGCUCCUUCCCCACAGAGCCUCCCUGGUCCGGGGAGGGGAAGCCUGUGCGCAGAGGUCCACGGGGGACCGGGGGACUGCGGGGACAGGCCAGCCCUGGUGGCACUGGGCAGCCUUGGCGCUCGCAGACUGGCUGUCGGGCCACCGAUGCUGCCCCGCAGAAGGUCACGGGCCAAAGCCGACCGCUGUCCCAGGCGGCCGUAGAUCCAGAGGCAGGGCCCCGUCUCUUGAGCUUUUUCAGUCUGAUUCCAGAGAAGAGGGGUUGGCGUCAGGCUCUCCUGUGGCCCGAGCGUGUCCCCAAGUCCCUGAUGCCGAGUGUCUGGAGCCCCCCUCCUGCAGCCUGUGAACGCCGGGUGCAGUGUGGAGGGAGCAGGAGGUCCGCGGACUGUGCCCCCCGCCCCCCGGGCCGGCUGGUGGCUUUCCUGGUUCACAAAAUAAAAAUGUGUCCUCACCGCAGGUCGUGGUCCACAGUAUUUGAAACAUCGUUGCCAGGUCCAAGUUGUUCUCUCCCCAGCUGUACGGUCCUGGGCUGCUCGGAGAUCCCCCCCCCCCCCCCCGCCCCGCACCCCAGGGCCCAGGGGCUGUGCCCCUCGCAGGGGCAGGGGCCUCUCCGACUGCCUCUCCUGUCUGCAGGCCGGACACGGCCAGUGGAUGCUGAGUGUGUGACACGCCAGACAGCGCCAGGUGGGACCCGCUGGGGGAUUAGGCCCGGUCCUGGCAUCCACAUCAGCCCCCUCUCUAAUGGCAUUUUCUCGUUUGAAGUGUGUAACUGUCAUUCAGACGAACCCACAGGAGACGAGCCUGCGGGAUAA